AUUGAACGCUGGCGGCAUGCCUUACACAUGCAAGUCGAACGGCAGCACGGGAGCAAUCCUGGUGGCGAGUGGCGAACGGGUGAGUAAUAUAUCGGAACGUGCCCGGUCGUGGGGGAUAACGUAGCGAAAGCUACGCUAAUACCGCAUACGAUCUACGGAUGAAAGCGGGGGAUCGCAAGACCUCGCGCGAUUGGAGCGGCCGAUAUCAGAUUAGGUAGUCGGUGAGGUAAAGGCUCACCAAGCCGACGAUCUGUAGCUGGUCUGAGAGGACGACCAGCCACACUGGGACUGAGACACGGCCCAGACUCCUACGGGAGGCAGCAGUGGGGAAUUUUGGACAAUGGGCGCAAGCCUGAUCCAGCAAUGCCGCGUGCAGGAUGAAGGCC
RNAcentral lists this ribosomal RNA (386 nucleotides) under uncultured bacterium. RNAcentral's name for it is "bacterial SSU rRNA". It matches the Rfam family "Bacterial small subunit ribosomal RNA", at positions 29 to 416 of the family's 1533-position model. The record is from RNAcentral.